This 406-nucleotide ribosomal RNA is filed under the name uncultured bacterium. RNAcentral's name for it is "partial 16S ribosomal RNA". It matches the Rfam family "Bacterial small subunit ribosomal RNA", at positions 30 to 526 of the family's 1533-position model. The record is from RNAcentral.
AUUGAACGCUGGCGGCAGGCCUAACAAAUGCAAGUCGAACGAGCGGCGGACGGGUGAGUAAUGUAUGGGAAACUGCCUGAUGGAGGGGGAUAACUACUGGAAACGGUAGCUAAUACCGCAUACAAUCAGAUGUGCCCAGAUGUGAUUAGCUAGUAGGUGGGGUAAAGGCUCACCAAGGCGAAGAUCCCUAGAUGGUCUGAGAGGCGGACCACCCACACUGGAACUGAGACACGGACCAGACUCCGACGGGAGGCAGCAGUGGGGAAUAUUGCACAAUGGGCGCAAGCCUGAUGCAGCCAUGCCGCGUGUAUGAAGAAGGCCUUCGGGUUGUAAAGUACUUUCAGCGGAGAGGCGUUACCCGCAGAAGAAGCACCGGCUAACUCCGUGCCAGCAGCCGCGGUAAUAC